GAUGAACGCUGGCGGCGUGCCUAAUACAUGCAAGUCGAGCGAACGGACGAGAAGCUUGCUUCUCUGAUGUUAGCGGCGGACGGGUGAGUAACACGUGGAUAACCUACCUAUAAGACUGGGAUAACUUCGGGAAACCGGAGCUAAUACCGGAUAAUAUUUUGAACCGCAUGGUUCAAAAGUGAAAGACGGUCUUGCUGUCACUUAUAGAUGGAUCCGCGCUGCAUUAGCUAGUUGGUAAGGUAACGGCUUACCAAGGCUACGAUGCAUAGCCGACCUGAGAGGGUGAUCGGCCACACUGGAACUGAGACACGGUCCAGACUCCUACGGGAGGCAGCAGUAGGGAAUCUUCCGCAAUGGGCGAAAGCCUGACGGAGCAACGCCGCGUGAGUGAUGAAGGUCUUCGGAUCGUAAAACUCUGUUAUUAGGGAAGAACAUAUGUGUAAGUAACUGUGCACAUCUUGACGGUACCUAAUCAGAAAGCCACGGCUAACUACGUG
RNAcentral lists this ribosomal RNA (497 nucleotides) under uncultured bacterium. RNAcentral's name for it is "partial 16S ribosomal RNA". It matches the Rfam family "Bacterial small subunit ribosomal RNA", at positions 28 to 507 of the family's 1533-position model. The record is from RNAcentral.